Molecule: non-coding RNA, 119 nt
Organism: Picea glauca (white spruce)
Lineage: Eukaryota; Viridiplantae; Streptophyta; Pinopsida; Pinales; Pinaceae
Source: Rfam
AGGUGCGAUCAUACCAACAUUAAUGCACCAGUUCCCAUCAGAAAUGUGCAGGUAAGAGUGCUUGGGAUAGAGUAGUACUGGGAUGGGUGACCUCUCAGGAAGUCUUAGUGCUCCACCCU